GGUGGCACAGUGGUAGAGCACUUGCCUUGCAUGCAUGAGGCCCUGGGUUCAAUUCCUCAGCACCA
Molecule: transfer RNA, 65 nt
Filed under: Dipodomys ordii (Ord's kangaroo rat)
Lineage: Eukaryota; Metazoa; Chordata; Mammalia; Rodentia; Heteromyidae
Rfam family: tRNA
About the family: Transfer RNA (tRNA) molecules are approximately 80 nucleotides in length. Their secondary structure includes four short double-helical elements and three loops (D, anti-codon, and T loops).
Source: Rfam by way of RNAcentral